UGAUCCUUCUCUCUCCAGGGUCAUGGAGGUCCAUCUAUGUGCCCGUGGGUCUAGCAGCUCUCAUAAUAACUGUAGUGGCGGUCAACAUGUGGACGAGAGCUAAAGAGAAGAAAACACAGACGGAGGACAUAGCUGUGCGUUAUGACGUAGAUGAUGAUACAGUGAACUAUGAGAACAUCAGAUCUCCUGAUGGAGUCUGACCAACACUUCUGCCUCCAUCAGCCUCCACCCAUCAACUCGUCACCUUUUACUGGAGGAGUUCAACGCUGUCAAGAACAAAAAGAAUCAUUAAGGCUUAUUUUAUUUUAGUCUGAUGUAUUUCCUGCAUCGACUGUAAAAA
Long non-coding RNA from Etheostoma cragini (Arkansas darter), 340 nucleotides. RefSeq lists it as uncharacterized. The transcript is spliced from 3 exons. The record is from RefSeq and is a predicted model, not a curated record. NCBI's taxonomy places the organism in Eukaryota, Metazoa, Chordata, Actinopteri, Perciformes, Percidae.